Long non-coding RNA from Saccostrea cuccullata (small rock oyster), 582 nucleotides. RefSeq lists it as uncharacterized. Lineage: Eukaryota; Metazoa; Mollusca; Bivalvia; Ostreida; Ostreidae. The record is from RefSeq and is a predicted model, not a curated record. The transcript has 3 exons.
AGAAAACGUGGUGACGGUGGUUUGCUAAGUUUAGCUAAAGUUUAGUGUACUGACAGUUAUAGUGAGAGUCUAAUUUAGAUAUUUUGAACAAUCGACGCCUUUGCAGAGUGUUUUUGCAGUGCUCAAAUACUUGAAAUCUUUGGGUAACCUGAUCAUAUAGCUACAGUUUGAUAUUUGGUUUGUUAACAGACAAAGCAUUUGAAGAAAUAUAUACUGUGCCCAGAAAAAAGAUGAGAACAAAACGACAGUCUGCUGAACAGAAGGCAGCAAGAGAAAAACGGAGACGAAAGAUGAUGAAAGAUGUUGGGCCUGUUGCUAAGGCAUACCAUAAAAGUCAGAGUUUGGUGGGCAUCUCUAAAAAAAACCCAAAGCUUGAAAUGUGUUCCAAAUCAGGAACAGUGGUCAAAGCUAACAAUGUUAGCGGCCAGAGGCUAGUCAAGGCCUCUUUAAAAAACCUUGACAAAACCAUGAAAACUGAAACUGAACUGAAAACUGAAACAAAACUGAAUACUGAAACUAUACUGAAAACUGAACUGAAAACUGAAACAAAACUGAGCACUGAAACUAUACUGAAUACUGAAA